CCAUUUUCAAAAGUGAGGAAGAGGCAUAGCUACGAGAGCAACUAAUGAAGACUUUCUGAGUUUUUCACUUAGUUCAUCCCAGCCAUCAAAAAUUAUCAGUAAUCCUUCUCCAUUCCUCUUCUCAAACCAUUCAGCUACCAUGGGAACUUCAUAACGUCUAUACUCAAACAGGACAGUAAAGUACCAAGUCAUACUGUUGGUGUACAAGUG
This is a long non-coding RNA of Amphimedon queenslandica, 210 nucleotides long. RefSeq lists it as uncharacterized. The record is from RefSeq and is a predicted model, not a curated record. The transcript has 3 exons. NCBI's taxonomy places the organism in Eukaryota, Metazoa, Porifera, Demospongiae, Haplosclerida, Niphatidae.